CCAGACUCCUACGGGAGGCAGCAGUGGGGAAUAUUGCACAAUGGGGGAAACCCUGAUGCAGCGACGCCGCGUGAGUGAAGAAGUAUUUCGGUAUGUAAAGCUCUAUCAGCAGGGAAGAAAAUGACGGUACCUGACUAAGAAGCCCCGGCUAACUACGUGCCAGCAGCCGCGGUAAUACGUAGGGGGCAAGCGUUAUCCGGAUUCACUGGGUGUAAAGGGAGCGUAGACGGCGACGCAAGUCUGAAGUGAAAAUCCAGCGCUUAACGUUGGAAGUGCUUUGGAAACUGCCGGGCUAGAGUGCGGGAGGGGCAGGCGGAAUUCCUAGUGUAGCGGUGAAAUGCGUAGAUAUUAGGAGGAACACCAGUGGCGAAGGCGGCCUGCUGGACUGCAACUGACGUUGAGGCUCGAAGGCGUGGGGAGCAAACAGGAUUAGAUACCCCCGUA
This 444-nucleotide ribosomal RNA is filed under the name uncultured bacterium. RNAcentral's name for it is "bacterial SSU rRNA". It matches the Rfam family "Bacterial small subunit ribosomal RNA", at positions 331 to 792 of the family's 1533-position model. The record is from RNAcentral.